GUCGUGAGAUGUUGGGUUAAGUCCCGCAACGAGCGCAACCCUCGUCGUAUGUUGCCAGCAUUUAGUUGGGGACUCAUGCGAGACUGCCGGUGACAAACCGGAGGAAGGCGGGGAUGACGUCAAGUCAUCAUGCCCCUUAUGUCCAGGGCUACACACGUGCUACAUUGGCGCGUACAGAGGGCUGCGAUACCGCGAGGUGGAGCGAAUCCCUUAAAGCGCGUCUCGGUUCGGAUUGAAGGCUGAAACUCGCCUUCAUGAAGGCGGAGUUGCUAGUAAUCGCGGAUCAGCAUUGCCGCGGUGAAUACGUUCCCGGGCCUUGUACACACCGCCCGUCACACCACGGGAGUGAGCAACACCCGAAGCCGGUGGCCCAACCCUUUGGGAGGGAGCCGUCGAAGGUGGGGCUCGUGACUGGGGUGAAGUCGUAACAAGGUAGCCGUAGCGGAAGCUGCGGCUGGAUCACCUCCUUUCUAGGGAGCACCCAGUUGGGUGCCCGUCGGGCUUCAGGCUCGGCGGCCUAGCAUAUCGACCGGUCCUGGAUGGCGUGAGCUCUCGAGCUCGCGUUCGCAUGCUGCUGAGUUUUGAGAGACCGACCGGUCUCGUCCGCGGCCGCGCCCCCGUGUGCGGCCGCCGGCGUGAUCGGACAGCCCCUCUCGGCGGUCCUUGAAAACUGCACAGGUGUCACACACAACGACGGCGUACUUCGGUACGCGCGUCGUAGCAACGGGUUCACCGAGCCGCGUAAGAACGCCGACGUUUUCGUUGGCGGGGUUACGCGGCUUAGAUCACCGUCAAGAUAGUAAGGGCAUGUGGUGGAUGCCUUGGCACCUAGAGUCGAUGAAGGGCGUGGACGGCUGCGAUAAGCCACGGUGAGGCGCUGAACAGCCUUUGACCCGUGGAUGC
Molecule: small RNA, 903 nt
Filed under: uncultured Rubrobacterales bacterium
Lineage: Bacteria; Bacillati; Actinomycetota; Rubrobacteria; Rubrobacterales
Description: bacterial SSU rRNA
Rfam family: Bacterial small subunit ribosomal RNA (bases 1-470)
Source: RNAcentral